RNAcentral lists this ribosomal RNA (515 nucleotides) under uncultured archaeon. RNAcentral's name for it is "bacterial SSU rRNA". It matches the Rfam family "Archaeal small subunit ribosomal RNA", at positions 336 to 852 of the family's 1478-position model. The record is from RNAcentral.
CAGGCGCGGAAACUUGGCAAUGCGAGAAAUCGUGACCAGGGAACUCCAAGUGCGUAGGGUAAGACCUACGCUUUUCUUGACUCUUCAAAGGUCUUGGAAUAAGGGGUGGGUAAGGACGGUGCCAGCCGCCGCGGUAAUACCGGCGCCUCAAGUGGUAGUCGCUUUUAUUGGGCCUAAAACGUCCGUAGCCGGUCUGGUGCAUUCGUGGGUAAAUCAACCCGCUCAACGGGUUGAAUUCUGCGAGCACGGCCAGACUUGGGACCGGGAGAGGUGUGGGGUACUCUCAGGGUAGGGGUAAAAUCCUGUCAUCCUGAGAGGACCACCUGUUGCGAAGGCGCCACACUAGAACGGAUCCGACGGUCAGGGACGAAACCUAGGGGCACGAACCGGAUUAGAUACCCGGGUAGUCCUAGGUGUAAACGCUGUGGACUUGAUGUUGGGGGCGCUCCGAGCGCUCUCAGUGUCGAAGCGAAGGUGAUAAGUCCACUGCCUGGGGAGUACGGUCGCAAGGCUGA